RNAcentral lists this long non-coding RNA (4059 nucleotides) under Mus musculus (house mouse). Its description in RNAcentral is "long non-coding RNA chr9:68805408-68809467". Lineage: Eukaryota; Metazoa; Chordata; Mammalia; Rodentia; Muridae. The record is from RNAcentral.
UUUUUAAAAAAUAGAGAGAGUGAAGAGUGUAUUGUUUUAUUUAUGUAUGUGAGUGCAUCUCUGGGUGAGUGAGUACCACAUGGGUACAGGAGUCUGUAGAAGCCAGAAGAGACCCGGAUCUCUUGGAGCUAGAGUUACAGGGAGUCGUGAUCUACCUAACUGGGUGCUGGGAACCUACCAUGGGUCCUCAGGAAGAGCAUCAAGUGUCCUUGCCAGCUGAGCCGUCCAUUUGUGGUAUUCCUCUACAAUGCCAUCUAGCCAUCUGUCUAUCUCAUUCUCCCAUUCUCCAGUAUAGACCCCUGGGUGACACCGGGCAUCACCUACAGUUAAAGAUGGUGUCUGCAGCUGCCAAAGCCUCUGACCGUGCUUUGAGAAGCGUGCUCUCCACACAAAGGUGCCCCUUUGCCCAGCGAUCCCCUCACAGUGUUCCCUCCAUUUAAGACAGACACUGCCUCCACAGUCUGUUCUAGUGUUUUCCUUGCUUCCCUGUGCUGAAUUACAGCCCCAGUCAACGGCCCACUUGUGUGUAAUUCAAGAAGCAAUUAUGGGCUUUUUGCUUUGAACAAGCAAGGGAGGGGGGUAGAAUGAAAGAUGAUCAUUACCCUACUAUUCCUCUGCUUUAGCCAAACAGUUCACAGAGCCUUGAUGCCAAAAGUCACGGGCCUUGAAACAGUGGAGGGUUGGGGGUGGGGGGGAGGGGCACUGCCUUCCACAACCACGCCUGCCUACUAGAAGGCAGGGACUCAUCCACCAUCAGGUUGAGGGACACAAGCUGACUUUAGAAUUGUGUUUAAAUACGAUUGUAAUGUCUGCACCAUGAUCCACAGCCUGGUGAUGCUAUCGCUGCAAAUUAAAAUGUGCAAACUUCAGAGUCCUCCGAAGGAAGCUCACAGUCUCGGCUGUAAGCCUUUUGUUUUAUUCUGUGGGAUUUACUCUAAUCGGAAAAUGGCAGCCUUAUCUCUCUGAGCGAGGCCACAUGAAUGGUGUCUAUCUUUAGUUUCUCUAUUCCUAGAGGGCAGGGGCUUUUAUCUCUCGGAUCCCACCGGGUCUCUAACAGCGCUGGCGAUCGAAGCUGCUUAAAUAUUUUUGUUGCGAUGAUCAAGGGAUGGCCUUCUUACUUACUGUUUGCUCCGUAAGUACAUCUGCCACAUGUGGAGUAAUAGAUGACACUCUGGGAAGAGAAAGUCACCAAAUGUCAGCGCUUCACCAAUGUGUUCAAAUGCCCACUCUUCCUCCCCACUCCCCCUUCAGCAGCAGCAGCAGCAGCAGCAGCAGCAGCAACUGAGAAUGUGUUUAAAAUGUACAUUACAGAUCUGGUGAGGUAGCUGAGUGGAUAAAUGCUUGCCACCCAAACUUGAUGGCCUGUGGUCAAUCCCCAGAGCCCAUCUGAAGUGCCUGGCAUGGUGAUGCUUACAUUUAACUUCAGGACAGGGUAGGUUAGAGAUACAUCCCUGGGCUCACUGGUCAACAGGACUAGCUUGUUUGAGGAAUUCCAGGUUCAAUGAGAGAACCUAUCUCAAACAAGGUAGAUGGCACCUGAAGAAUGAUACCAGAGCUUGACCUCAGGUCUUCACACAGGGUUCAUCUAUGUGUACACACACCCAAACACACAACACAAACACACACACACACACACACACACACACACACACACCUGUGCAAAUAAGCAAAUAAAUAAGUACACUCUUUGGCCUGCCCUCAAAUGCUGUGGUGUCCAGACCAUCCAAGUGUUGCUAGCUAUGCUCAGGAGUCAGAAUAACUUAAGUCCAAGUCCAUACUGGAUUUAGCAGCUGCAGAAAGCAUGUAAUUCAUCAAGGCCACAUGGGGCAGGUGUGCAAUGGGGUGGUUCUGACCUUGACCUGAAUGUCUCCUUGCUUCUCUGCUUAGAAUGCAUGCCCCGGCAGGCAAGGACACUAAUUCUUGUUCAACAUCUGAGCAGCUGUGAGGUGAUGAGGUUAGACCAGGAAGACUCGGGUCAAUGUGUAGCACUGCUCCAGUAGCUUGGAGACUUUGGGAAAACCCAUUAACCUCAUUACACUCAACUGGACCUGCGUUUUCCCAUUUCACGAAUGGAGAUAAUUUUAUCUGUCCUGUCUGAUUCAUAGGACGUUCUGCUCUAUUGAGAUAGGGGUGCUUUUUGGAACUUGGUCCAAAGUUAAGACCUCCCUUUGCCUCCGGAAUGACUGAAGGUGUUCUGCCAUUAAGGAUGAGAGCUCAGUGUGCAAGCAAAGGACUUCAUUUAUUUAUGACACAUUUGCAUGCCUGUACAUGACAACACAUGCAUGUUAACACUCUCUGGGGCUUCUCUAGUAAGGAGCAACAGGACUUCGGUGGAGUCUGAUCAACCUAAAUAAGACUUCCCUCCUCCAACCUGAGACUCCAUGUUCAGUUACUCAAGCAGCCUUUCCUUGAACUACUGGAACCCCGAGUUUGGUAAUACUUGGUGAUGUCCAAAGUGUGAGGGCCAUGUAGAAGCAAGAACCUGAAGGCUGUCUGCCAAGUACUGAUGCCAGUAGGCAUGGAUGUUGCCUUGUCUCUGGGCAGGGGUGGGACUUAGUAGUAGCAGAUGUGGGAAGCUGGUUGGCUGAGUGUCUGCUCUGGCUGGGCCAAGGCUAUUGGAAAAGGGGAGGACAGAAGAGAAGGAGUCCUGACAAGUCUCACACACAGCAAGGCUGAAUGCAAAUGAGACUUCAUACAGACAAGUGCCUACAUCCAAAGGAGCUCAGGGUCAAUGGAUGAAUUACCAAAGGUGUCUGGUGUUUUGACUCACUUUUAAGUCCUCUGGAGGCCAUUGAACAGCUGAGUUGGCUGAGUUUAAACUGCCCCCAAAGGGGCCAUGUGUGGUGCUGCAUACCAGUGGUCUUGCGAGACCAACUGUGGAAGAAUACAAGUUCAAGGCCAUCCUGGGCUACACAGCAAGAUCCUAUUGCAAAAGAAACAAACUCCACCAUCUAAGUGAUGUAUGUGCCCUGCUGGGAUCUAACAGCACAUUAGAAACCCUGAUCUCAUCACCAGGUGGACCCUAAGCAGUGCUGUCUCACCCCAGUGUGCAAAACAAUAGCUACCGAAGGCUGCCUGUCUUUCUCUCUCUCUCUUUACAGAAUUUCAGUGACAUUACUAUCUGCCCAAGGGACACACCGCACUAAUGAGGGAGUUCACUUGAGAAGCCAAUGUGUACGUCAUGUUGAAUGCCUUCGAGUCAGAUACCCCAAGAGCCUGAAUGAGAGCCUCAGUUCUGGUGUCUCCUUAAGUGCAUGAAUCCAUUUUCCUUUCUCUUCUGAGCCUAAAGCCUUGGACCCACCCCCUUGGGUUGAAAUAGGUCACAGAAUCACAGCAUAAGCAACCAUGCUUUUUCCAGGCAGUUCAUGCCAUUUGAUAAUUGGUGCCACUGAGCAGUGAUAGAUGGUGCUGUGGGGAAAUGGGACUUACACCCUUCAAUGUCACCAUCACCAGAGAAAGCCAUGCUUUCACGAUCCCUCUCCUCCAUGAUUCCAUACCUCAUUGAACACUUUGGUUGGCAAUAGAAAUGGAAUGGGGAGGACAUUUGGUUUCACCAGGGGCACAUCUGCAAUCUGCCUUCCCACCGUGACUCACAACCAAACCACCGCUUUUGGUUUGUGAGGCUCAAGAAACCACUUGAGCAGUUCGUAGCACCCGAACAAGAGAGACACCUUGGCCACUUUUAUGUCAGAACAGCCAUGCCCUUCCUGUUCUUUACAAAGUCCUCUUGAGAGUGUGUGUGUUUGGUGGUGGACAGAAGCACCAUAGGGGAGGAGUUCCAUCCAAAAUCCUCUAUUGCUACCAAAUUGUGUUGGGUCUGUUGAGACCUCAGUCCCUGGAAUUCCCUUCUUCUAAAAUGCUGCUGGAUUGGAGAAACUAAACACUUAGCAUAAGAUUAAGAUUACACACUGUUCUAGGUUUGGACCCAGUCCUCAAACAUUACCACAACCGAUGAAGUAGACCUCAUACUGUGUCCCUGGUUCCCCACAGGGUCAUAGGUAACUCUAUGGGUGAGUCUCAACUCCCAAUAUUUUUUUCUGUGAAUAAGUUAGACUUUAC